GCCUUGGUAGCUCAGUCGGUAGAGCAUGAGGCCCUUAAUCUCAGGGUCGUGGGUUCAAGCCCCACGUUGGGCA
This is a non-coding RNA of Podarcis lilfordi (Lilford's wall lizard), 73 nucleotides long. The record is from the annotation of a GenBank genome assembly. Lineage: Eukaryota; Metazoa; Chordata; Lepidosauria; Squamata; Lacertidae.